GGAAAAAACUAUCGUCUUAUAGUCGGAAAAAUACAGUAUUUCUGUUAAAUAUAGAAAGCAAAAGGAAAUGAAUGCAAGGAGAAAUUGGAUUCAAGCUACUUCCCCUCUUCCCCCCACUGUUAUGGGCUACUGCCAGAGAUGUAUGAACCUGUUGAAAUCCAGAUACCUGAAGUGAAGAGGCAUUUAUUAAGCUGGUGAGAACAAAGAUUGCCUGGUCCCGCCUGUGAAAGCAGAACAUUGCCAUGAAGUGAAGAAAGAUUAAUGUGAAGAAGCAGAGAAUACAAUCCUGGAGGCAGCUUUUCCACCUCAACAUGUUUCUUUCUGUUCAUUUCUCCACCCCAUCAACAUCAUUCUUCUUUGAUCAACCAAGCCCUUCAUUUUUGUUGUGCCUGAGAUUAUCACUGUCAUCACAAAAUUUGAAGGGAGAGAUGAAA
Python bivittatus (Burmese python) is the source of this 434-nucleotide long non-coding RNA. RefSeq lists it as uncharacterized. The record is from RefSeq and is a predicted model, not a curated record. Lineage: Eukaryota; Metazoa; Chordata; Lepidosauria; Squamata; Pythonidae.